CUGUCAGGGUCUAGGAAUACUGACCAGACCCAGAGGAAGGGCCGGCUAAUUCAGUGCCAGCAGCCGCGGUAAUACUGAAGGCCCGAGCGUUAAUCGGAAUCACUGGGCUUAAAGCGUACGCAGGCGGACUUGUAGGUAUUUUGUGAAAUCCCACGGCUUAACCGUGGAACUGCAGAGUAAACCACAAGUCUUGAGACAUGUAGGGGUCAGUGGAACCAUGAGUGGAGCGGUGAAAUGCGUAGAUAUUCAUGGGAACGCCAAUGGCGAAGGCAGCUGACUGGGCAUGUUCUGACGCUCAGGUACGAAAGCGUGGGUAGCGAACGGGAUUAGAUACCCCGGUAGUCCACGCCGUAAACGAUGCACACUAGGUCGUGGGAACUCUCAUGUUCUCGCGGCCGAAGGUAAACUGGUAAGUGUGCCGCCUGGGGAGUACGGUCGCAAGGCUAAAACUCAAAGGAAUUGACGGGGGCUCACACAAGCGGUGGAGCAUGUUGCUUAAUUCGAGGCAACGCGAAGAACCUUACCUGGGCUUGACAUGUAUGGAUUAGCUUAUGGAAACAUAAGUGACGCCCUUGGGUGGAACAUACACAGGUGCUGCAUGGCUGUCGUCAGCUCGUGCUGUGAAGUGUCGGGUUAAGUCCCUUAACGAGCGCAACCCCUAUCGUUAGUUACUAACGCGUUAUGGCGAGGACUCUAGCGAGACUGCCGGUGUCAAACCGGAGGAAGGUGGGGAUGACGUCAAGUCCUCAUGGCCUUUAUGCCCAGGGAUGCAAACGUGCUACAAUGGUACGGACAAAGCGAUGCAAUACCGCGAGGUGGAGCAAAUCGCAAAAACCGUGCCCCAGUUC
Molecule: ribosomal RNA, 848 nt
Filed under: marine metagenome
Description: bacterial SSU rRNA
Rfam family: Bacterial small subunit ribosomal RNA
Source: RNAcentral